This 484-nucleotide ribosomal RNA is filed under the name uncultured bacterium. Its description in RNAcentral is "partial 16S ribosomal RNA". It matches the Rfam family "Bacterial small subunit ribosomal RNA", at positions 28 to 507 of the family's 1533-position model. The record is from RNAcentral.
AUUGAACGCUGGCGGCAUGCUUUACACAUGCAAGUCGAACGGCAGCGCGGGCUUCGGCCUGGCGGCGAGUGGCGAACGGGUGAGUAAUGCAUCGGAACGUGCCCAGUAGUUGGGGAUAGCCCGGCGAAAGCCGGAUUAAUACCGCAUACGACCUGAGGGUGAAAGCGGGGGACCGAAAGGCCUCGCGCCAUUGGAGCGGCCGAUGUCGGAUUAGCUGGUUGGUGGGGUAAAGGCUUACCAAGGCGACGAUCCGUAGCUGGUCUGAGAGGACGACCAGCCACACUGGGACUGAGACACGGCCCAGACUCCUACGGGAGGCAGCAGUGGGGAAUUUUGGACAAUGGGGGCAACCCUGAUCCAGCCAUGCCGCGUGCGGGAAGAAGGCCUUCGGGUUGUAAACCGCUUUUGUUCGGGAAGAAAUCCUCUGGGCUAAUACCCCGGGGGGAUGACGGUACCGGAAGAAUAAGCACCGGCUAACUACGUG